Molecule: ribosomal RNA, 163 nt
Filed under: Didymellaceae sp.
Lineage: Eukaryota; Fungi; Ascomycota; Dothideomycetes; Pleosporales; Didymellaceae
Description: partial large subunit ribosomal RNA
Rfam family: Eukaryotic large subunit ribosomal RNA
Source: RNAcentral
CGGCAACAGCUCAAAUUUGAAAUCUGGCGUCUUUGGCGUCCGAGUUGUAAUUUGCAGAGGGCGCUUUGGCAUUGGCAGCGGUCCAAGUUCCUUGGAACAGGACGUCACAGAGGGUGAGAGCCCCGUACGGUUGGAUGCCUAGCCUCUGUGAAACUCCUUCGAC